GACGGGGCCCGCACAAGCGGUGGAGCAUGUGGUUUAAUUCGAAGCAGCGCGAAGAACCUUACCAGGUCUUGACAUCCCGAUGCUAUUUCUAGAGAUAGAAAGUUACUUCGGUACAUCGGUGACAGGUGGUGCAUGGUUGUCGUCAGCUCGUGUCGUGAGAUGUUGAGUUAAGUCCCGCAACGAGCGCAACCCCUAUUGUUAGUUGCCAUCAUUCAGUUGGGCACUCUAGCGAGACUGCCGGUAAUAAACCGGAGGAAGGUGGGGAUGACGUCAAAUCAUCAUGCCCCUUAUGACCUGGGCUACACACGUGCUACAAUGGUUGGUACAACGAGUUGCGAGUCGGUGACGGCGAGCUAAUCUCUUAAAGCCAAUCUCAGUUCGGAUUGUAGGCUGCAACUCGCCUACAUGAAGUCGGAAUCGCUAGUAAUCGCGGAUCAGCACGCCGCGGUGAAUACGUUCCCGGGCCUU
RNAcentral lists this ribosomal RNA (468 nucleotides) under uncultured Streptococcus sp. Its description in RNAcentral is "bacterial SSU rRNA". It matches the Rfam family "Bacterial small subunit ribosomal RNA", at positions 916 to 1381 of the family's 1533-position model. The record is from RNAcentral. Lineage: Bacteria; Bacillati; Bacillota; Bacilli; Lactobacillales; Streptococcaceae.